Molecule: ribosomal RNA, 449 nt
Filed under: uncultured bacterium
Lineage: Bacteria
Description: partial 16S ribosomal RNA
Rfam family: Bacterial small subunit ribosomal RNA
Source: RNAcentral
AACGAACGCUGGCGGCAUGCCUAACACAUGCAAGUCGAACGAACCCUUCGGGGUUAGUGGCGCACGGGUGCGUAACGCGUGGGAAUCUGCCCUUUGCUUCGGAAUAACAGUUAGAAAUGACUGCUAAUACCGGAUGAUGUCUUCGGACCAAAGAUUUAUCGGCAAGGGAUGAGCCCGCGUAGGAUUAGGUAGUUGGUGGGGUAAAGGCCUACCAAGCCGACGAUCCUUAGCUGGUCUGAGAGGAUGAUCAGCCACACUGGGACUGAGACACGGCCCAGACUCCUACGGGAGGCAGCAGUGGGGAAUAUUGGACAAUGGGCGAAAGCCUGAUCCAGCAAUGCCGCGUGAGUGAUGAAGGCCUUAGGGUUGUAAAGCUCUUUUACCAGGGAUGAUAAUGACAGUACCUGGAGAAUAAGCUCCGGCUAACUCCGUGCCAGCAGCCGCCGUAA